Molecule: non-coding RNA, 159 nt
Filed under: Gluconobacter wancherniae NBRC 103581
Lineage: Bacteria; Pseudomonadati; Pseudomonadota; Alphaproteobacteria; Acetobacterales; Acetobacteraceae
Also listed under: 1 other name
Description: Gluconobacter sp. NBRC 103581 6S / SsrS RNA
Rfam family: 6S / SsrS RNA
About the family: E. coli 6S RNA was the first non coding RNA to be sequenced, but its function was unknown until recently.
Source: Rfam by way of RNAcentral
AGGGAGCUGCCUGGUUAGUCAGGCAAAUCAACCUCUGGGCCGAUAAGCACUUUCCAUAGGGAACUGGCUCUGUCGUGACCCUGGUCAUGUUAACCGGUGCCCACCUGCUCACGCAGGUCCGGGAGGGCUGAAAAGACCAACGGCUUUGGCGGCUCCACU